This 57-nucleotide transfer RNA is filed under the name Paenibacillus agaridevorans. Its description in RNAcentral is "tRNA-Ala". It matches the Rfam family "tRNA", at positions 8 to 62 of the family's 71-position model. From Rfam's summary of the family: Transfer RNA (tRNA) molecules are approximately 80 nucleotides in length. Their secondary structure includes four short double-helical elements and three loops (D, anti-codon, and T loops). Lineage: Bacteria; Bacillati; Bacillota; Bacilli; Caryophanales; Paenibacillaceae. The record is from RNAcentral.
UAGCUCAGCUGGGAGAGCGCCUGCCUUGCAAGCAGGAGGUCAGCGGUUCGAUCCCGC